Molecule: ribosomal RNA, 422 nt
Filed under: uncultured Rickettsiales bacterium
Lineage: Bacteria; Pseudomonadati; Pseudomonadota; Alphaproteobacteria; Rickettsiales
Description: bacterial SSU rRNA
Rfam family: Bacterial small subunit ribosomal RNA
Source: RNAcentral
UAUGCUUAACACAUGCAAGUCGAACGGAACUUUAGGAGCUUGCUCUUAAAGUUUAGUGGCAAACGGGUGAGUAAUAUAAAGGAAUCUACCUAGCAGUACGGAAUAACUUUGGGAAACCAACGCUAAUACCGUAUAUUACCAUUUAUGGGAAAGAUUUAUCGCUGUUAGAUGAGCCUUUAUCGGAUUAGUUUGUUGGUGGGGUAAUGGCCUACCAAGGCGAUGAUCCGUAGCUGGUCUGAGAGGAUGAUCAGCCACACUGGAACUGAGACACGGUCCAGACUCCUACGGGAGGCAGCAGUGGGGAAUAUUGGACAAUGGGCGCAAGCCUGAUCCAGCAAUACCGCGUGAGUGAUGACGGCCUUCGGGUUGUAAAGCUCUUUUAGUAGGGAAGAUAAUGACGGUACCUACAGAAAAAGCACCGG